RNAcentral lists this ribosomal RNA (194 nucleotides) under uncultured bacterium. RNAcentral's name for it is "partial 16S ribosomal RNA". It matches the Rfam family "Bacterial small subunit ribosomal RNA", at positions 338 to 524 of the family's 1533-position model. The record is from RNAcentral.
CCUACGGGAGGCAGCAGUGGGGAAUAUUGCACAAUGGGCGCAAGCCUGAUGCAGCCAUGCCGCGUGUAUGAAGAAGGCCUUAGGGUUGUAAAGUACUUUCAGCGGGGAGGAAGGUGAUAAGGUUAAUACCCUUGUCAAUUGACGUUACCCGCAGAAGAAGCACCGGCUAACUCCGUGCCAGCAGCCGCGGUAAU